GACGAACGCUGGCGGCGUGCUUAACACAUGCAAGUCGAACGAUGAAGCCGGAGCUUGCUCCGGUGGAUUAGUGGCGAACGGGUGAGUAACACGUGAGCAAUCUGCCCUUGACUCUGGGAUAACUGCGGGAAACUGUAGCUAAUACCGGAUACGACACCUUGGGGCAUCCCAGGGUGUGGAAAGAAUUUCGGUGAAGGAUGAGCUCGCGGCCUAUCAGCUAGUUGGUGAGGUAAUGGCUAACCAAGGCGACGACGGGUAGCCGGCCUGAGCGGGUGACCGGCCACACUGGAACUGAGACACGGUCCAGACUCCUACGGGAGGCAGCAGUGGGGAAUAUUGCACAAUGGGCGAAAGCCUGAUGCAGCAACGCCGCGUGAGGGAUGAAGGCCUUCGGGUUGUAAACCUCUUUUAGCAGGGAAGAAGCGAAAGUGACGGUACCUGCAGAAAAAGCACCGGCUAACUACGUGCCAGCCGCCGCGGUAA
RNAcentral lists this ribosomal RNA (483 nucleotides) under uncultured bacterium. RNAcentral's name for it is "partial 16S ribosomal RNA". It matches the Rfam family "Bacterial small subunit ribosomal RNA", at positions 28 to 523 of the family's 1533-position model. The record is from RNAcentral.